ACGCCUUAUACAUGCAAGUCGAACGAAGUAGUAAUACUUAGUGGCAGACGGGUGAGUAACAUGUAGGUAUCUUCCCUUUGGUGAGGAAUAACACGAGGAAACUUGUGCUAAUACCUCAUAAGUCUUUACGGAGAAAGCUUUAUGCGCCGAAGGAUGAGCCUGCACUUGAUUAGUUUGUUGGUGGGGUAAUGGCUUACCAAGACUUUGAUCAAUAGCUGAUCUGAGAGGAUGAUCAGCCACAUUGGGACUGAGACACGGCCCAAACUCCUACGGGAGGCAGCAGUAGGGAAUAUUGCACAAUGGAGGAAACUCUGAUGCAGCGAUGCCGCGUGAGUGAAGAAGGCCUUUGGGUUGUAAAGCUCUUUCGUCGGGGAAGAAAAUGACUGUACCCGAAUAAGAAGGUCCGGCUAACUUCGUGCCAGCAGCCGCGGUAAUACGAAGGGACCUAGCGUAGUUCGGAAUUACUGGGCUUAAAGAGUUCGUAGGUGGUUAAAAAAGUUGGUGGUGAAAUCCCAGAGCUUAACUCUGGAACUGCCAUCAAAACUUUUUAGCUAGAGUAUGAUAGAGGAAAGCAGAAUUUCUAGUGUAGAGGUGAAAUUCGUAGAUAUUAGAAAGAAUACCAAUUGCGAAGGCAGCUUUCUGGAUCAUUACUGACACUGAGGAACGAAAGCAUGGGUAGCGAAGAGGAUUAGAUACCCUCGUAGUCCAUGCCGUAAACGAUGUGUGUUAGACGUUGGAAAUUUAUUUUCAGUGUCGCAGCGAAAGCAUUAAACACACCGCCUGGGGAGUACGACC
RNAcentral lists this ribosomal RNA (795 nucleotides) under uncultured Pelagibacteraceae bacterium. RNAcentral describes it as "bacterial SSU rRNA". It matches the Rfam family "Bacterial small subunit ribosomal RNA", at positions 44 to 887 of the family's 1533-position model. Lineage: Bacteria; Pseudomonadati; Pseudomonadota; Alphaproteobacteria; Candidatus Pelagibacterales; Candidatus Pelagibacteraceae. The record is from RNAcentral.